AACGAACGCUGGCGGCAGGCUUAACACAUGCAAGUCGAACGAGAAGCUGGCUUCGGUCAGUGGAGAGUGGCGCACGGGUGAGUAACGUGUGGGAAUUUGCCUUUCGGUACGGGAUAACGUUUGGAAACGGACGCUAAUACCGUAUGAUGUCUACGGACUAAAGAUUUAUCGCCGAAAGAUGAGCCCGCGUAGGAUUAGGUAGUUGGUGGGGUAAUGGCCUACCAAGCCGACGAUCUUUAGCUGGUCUGAGAGGACGAUCAGCCACACUGGAACUGAGACACGGUCCAGACUCCUACGGGAGGCAGCAGUGGGGAAUCUUGGACAAUGGGGGCAACCCUGAUCCAGCCAUGCCGCGUGUGUGAAGAAGGCCUUCGGGUUGUAAAGCACUUUCAGCAGGGAGGAAGGCUUACCCCUAAUACGGGUGAGUACUUGACGUUACCUGCAGAAGAAGCACCGCUAAUUU
This 463-nucleotide ribosomal RNA is filed under the name uncultured bacterium. RNAcentral describes it as "bacterial SSU rRNA". It matches the Rfam family "Bacterial small subunit ribosomal RNA", at positions 29 to 503 of the family's 1533-position model. The record is from RNAcentral.